This 356-nucleotide long non-coding RNA is filed under the name Rattus norvegicus (Norway rat). RNAcentral describes it as "long non-coding RNA NONRATT029996". Lineage: Eukaryota; Metazoa; Chordata; Mammalia; Rodentia; Muridae. The record is from RNAcentral.
GCCAGACCCAAUACUGGCCGUUUUCAGCAGCUGACAUUUACAAUUGGAAACAACACAACCCUUCUUUCUCCAAAGAUCCGGUGACACUCACCGACCUAAUAGAAUCUGUUUUACUUACCCACCAGCCUACUUGGGAUGACUGCCAACAGCUCUUACAGGCCCUCUUAACCUCAAGAAAAAAAACAAGGAGUGUUCCUAGAGGCCAGAAAGCAUGUUCUGGGAGAUGAUGGGCGUCCCACCCAGCUGCCUAAAAAAAUUGAUGCUACAUUCCCACUUAAGAGACCAAACUGGGAUUUUAAUACAGCUGAAGCCCUUCUCUGAGGGCCCAUUUACAGGCCCUACAGAUUGUGCAGAGA